RNAcentral lists this ribosomal RNA (497 nucleotides) under uncultured bacterium. Its description in RNAcentral is "partial 16S ribosomal RNA". It matches the Rfam family "Bacterial small subunit ribosomal RNA", at positions 28 to 507 of the family's 1533-position model. The record is from RNAcentral.
GAUGAACGCUGGCGGCGUGCCUAAUACAUGCAAGUCGAGCGAACAGACGAGGAGCUUGCUCCUCUGACGUUAGCGGCGGACGGGUGAGUAACACGUGGAUAACCUACCUAUAAGACUGGGAUAACUUCGGGAAACCGGAGCUAAUACCGGAUAAUAUCUUUAACCGCAUGGUUCAAUAUUGAAAGACGGUUUUGCUUUCACUUAUAGAUAGAUCCGCUCCGCAUUAGCAAGUUGUUAAGUUAACGGCUUACAAAGGCAACGAUCCGUAGCCAACCUGAGAGGGUGAUCGGCCACACUGGAACUGAGAAACGGUCAAGACUCCUACGGGAGGCAGCAGUAGGGAAUCUUCCGCAAUGGGCGAAAGCUUGACGGAGCAACGCCGGGUGAGUGAUGAAGGUCUUCGGAUCGUAAAACUCUGUUAUUAGGGAAGAAGAAAUGUGUAAGUAAAUAUGCACGUAUUGACGGUACCUAAUCAGAAAGCCACGGCUAACUACGUG